GUUUUAAUAAUUUAAUAAAAAUAUUGGUCUUGUAAAUCAAAAAUAAGCUUACCUUUUAAAACU
RNAcentral lists this transfer RNA (63 nucleotides) under Scraptia sp. SCR01. RNAcentral describes it as "tRNA-Thr". The record is from RNAcentral. Lineage: Eukaryota; Metazoa; Arthropoda; Insecta; Coleoptera; Scraptiidae.